Molecule: long non-coding RNA, 370 nt
Filed under: Phoenix dactylifera (date palm)
Lineage: Eukaryota; Viridiplantae; Streptophyta; Magnoliopsida; Arecales; Arecaceae
Description: long non-coding RNA (PDAC_LNC003684)
Source: RNAcentral
AGCUCCCAGCGAUCGCGUCCGGCUCCUCGCACCAGCCCGCCUCUCAACCAAGGUCCAAAGAAGGAAUCCCGAGCCGGAAUCCCAGCCUCCGACGCCGCAUCCGAGCUCCAACGAUCAUCGACGCCUUCCUUCCGUGAUCCCGAAAUCCCAGCACCAGUUUCGCUCCUGCCGUCCGCGUUUCUCCCACCGCGUGCCAGCAGCCCACCUUCCGCUUCAGCUCCCAGCAGCACCCGAAGAAGGAAGCCCCAGCGUCCACGGCGUCCUCCCAUUGAUCUCGGAUCGCCUUCCAUUCCAUGUGCGAUCUCGGAUGAUCGCUUCUUCCAUUUCAGCGCGUCCCCAGCCGUGAUCCACUCCUCCGCAUUCUUCUCCC